GCACUGCCGCGGAACCUCUGUUGCGCCUGUCUGGUAGCCUCAGGGUCUAGCGGCAGUGCCAGAGCACACCCAGCUUGUUCAGAUCCGGGGUUGCUUGGAUGCACCUGAGCGAUCCCUUUGGCGGCAAGCGACACUG
This is a small nucleolar RNA of Oryctolagus cuniculus (rabbit), 136 nucleotides long. NCBI's taxonomy places the organism in Eukaryota, Metazoa, Chordata, Mammalia, Lagomorpha, Leporidae. The record is from Ensembl.